GCCAAAGGUGUUCUAAUGCUACAAAUUUGUGGAGUCAUAUAAGAAAAAGUAAUUUUUACCUCUUGAUCUGGGCCUAAGAAGACCAGAGCCAUCCGCAGGAGGCUUACCAAGAAGGAAAUUAAAUGGAUGCACAUUGUUGAAGUGGAUGCAACUUCAUUUAAGCAAUGGUAUUUUCAGCAUUAUGGCAUUGACAUUGGCAAGAAGAAGAAAAUUGUUGCUAUGAAGAGCAACCAUGUCCAAAGGAAACUUAGGAAUGCUAAAAAGAUCGAAAGAUUGAUCCCCAUUUAGAAGAUCAGUUUCGUGUUGGUAGAUUGUUGGCCUACAUAUCAUCCUGUCCUGGUCAAUAUGCAGAGCUAAUGGAUACAUAUUAGAGGAUAAAAAACUGGAGUUCAAUAUGAAGAAGAUUCAAAGAACAAAGGGUAAGGGUAUUGGUGCAGCAUAAACAUUAAGUAUGUCAAGUUUUUACUGUUUUGGUAUAUAUAUAUAUAUGAAGCACAUUCGGAAUAGAUAUGAGUAGCUUCGUCUUUG
This 528-nucleotide unclassified non-coding RNA is filed under the name Hevea brasiliensis (rubber tree). The record is from RNAcentral. Lineage: Eukaryota; Viridiplantae; Streptophyta; Magnoliopsida; Malpighiales; Euphorbiaceae.